UCAGCGGCAAACGGGUGCGUAACGCGUAAGCAACCUGCCCACUACUGGGGGAUAGCCUUGCGAAAGCGGGGGUAAACCCGCAUGGUCCUUUUCCUUCACCUGAGGGGCUAGGUAAACAUUUAUGGGUAGUGGAGGGGCUUGCGUCUGAUUAGCUAGUUGGCGGGGUAAGGGCCCACCAAGGCGACGAUCAGUAGGGGUUCUGAGAGGAUUGGCCCCCACAUGGGUACUGAGACACGGACCCA
RNAcentral lists this ribosomal RNA (242 nucleotides) under uncultured bacterium. RNAcentral describes it as "partial 16S ribosomal RNA". It matches the Rfam family "Bacterial small subunit ribosomal RNA", at positions 92 to 334 of the family's 1533-position model. The record is from RNAcentral.